This 364-nucleotide unclassified non-coding RNA is filed under the name Hevea brasiliensis (rubber tree). The record is from RNAcentral. Lineage: Eukaryota; Viridiplantae; Streptophyta; Magnoliopsida; Malpighiales; Euphorbiaceae.
GUUUGUGGUCCCAGUCAUUAAAGGCCCUUGAAAUUUUAAAUCACGUUUCACUUUUUAGAUGGAAAACCAUUGGGUGGUUAAUAUUUAUAGGGACCAUGGUUUGAUUUUGAUUGCAGAACAACUUGCCAAUUAUGAGAAUACAAUCAUGAAUUAUUACAUUUAAACAUCUUGUGUCAGAAGAUAUAUUUAGCAAUUUUUCUAUGGCUGAGAUUUACAAAGACCGAUGACAGGUUGGGAAAAUUUUUUACCCUUACUAACUAUGUUCUAGGGUGGCCAGAACAUGACUCAAAUUGGGACAUCUUUUCAAUGGAUGGUAAUAUGGUAUCAAUAAAUGAAAAUCAAGGCAGGUUCGAAUUUGGGGCCA